RNAcentral lists this signal recognition particle RNA (228 nucleotides) under Staphylococcus epidermidis. RNAcentral describes it as "signal recognition particle sRNA large type". It matches the Rfam family "Bacterial large signal recognition particle RNA". Rfam says of the family: The signal recognition particle (SRP) is a universally conserved ribonucleoprotein involved in the co-translational targeting of proteins to membranes. Archaeal SRP consists of a 7S RNA and homologues of the eukaryotic SRP19 and SRP54 proteins. In most bacteria, the SRP consists of a 4.5S RNA and the Ffh protein (a homologue of the eukaryotic SRP54 protein). The record is from RNAcentral. Lineage: Bacteria; Bacillati; Bacillota; Bacilli; Caryophanales; Staphylococcaceae.
CCGUGCUAGGUGGGGAGGUAGCGGUUCCCUGUACUCGAAAUCCGCUUUAUGCGAGACUUAAUUCCUUUGUUGAGGACGUAUUUUUGUGAAGUCUGCCCGAAGCACGUAGUGUUUGAAGAUUUCGGUCCUAUGCAAUAUGAACCCAUGAACCAUGUCAGGUCCUGACGGAAGCAUUAGCUGUCGACUUCGGUAACGUUUAUGAUAUGCGUUCGAUACAAAGGUGCAUGG